RNAcentral lists this ribosomal RNA (468 nucleotides) under uncultured bacterium. RNAcentral describes it as "partial 16S ribosomal RNA". It matches the Rfam family "Bacterial small subunit ribosomal RNA", at positions 28 to 507 of the family's 1533-position model. The record is from RNAcentral.
GACGAACGCUGGCGGCGUGCUUAACACAUGCAAGUCGAACGGAAAGGCCCUGCUUUUGUGUGGUGCUCGAGUGGCGAACGGGUGAGUAACACGUGAGUAACCUUCCCUUGACUUUGGGAUAACUUCAGGAAACUGGGGCUAAUACCGGAUAGGAGCUCCUGCUGCAUGGUUGGGGUUGGAAAGUUUCGGCGGUUGGGGAUGGACUCGCGGCUUAUCAGCUUGUUGGUGGGGUAGUGGCUUACCAAGUCUUUGGCGGGUAGCCGGCCUGAGAGGGUGACCGGCCACAUUGGGACUGAGAUACGGCCCAGACUCCUACGGGAGGCAGCAGUGGGGAAUAUUGCACAAUGGGCGGAAGCCUGAUGCAGCAACGCCGCGUGCGGGAUGACGGCCUUCGGGUUGUAAACCGCUUUCGCCUGUGACGAAGCGUGAGUGACGGUAAUGGGUAAAGAAGCACCGGCUAACUACGUG